Molecule: ribosomal RNA, 501 nt
Filed under: uncultured bacterium
Lineage: Bacteria
Description: partial 16S ribosomal RNA
Rfam family: Bacterial small subunit ribosomal RNA
Source: RNAcentral
AUUGAACGCUGGCGGCAUGCCUUACACAUGCAAGUCGAACGGCAGCACGGGAGCAAUCCUGGUGGCGAGUGGCGAACGGGUGAGUAAAGUAUCGGAACGUGCCCAGUCGUGGGGGAUAACGUAGCGAAAGCUACGCUAAUACCGCAUACGAUCUAUGGAUGAAAGCGGGGGAUCGCAAGACCUCGCGCGAUUGGAGCGGCCGAUAUCAGAUUAGGUAGUUGGUGGGGUAAAGGCCCACCAAGCCGACGAUCUGUAGCUGGUCUGAGAGGACGACCAGUCACACUGGGACUGAGACACGGCCCAGACUCCUACGGGAGGCAGCAGUGGGGAAUUUUUGGACAAUGGGCGCAAGCCUGAUCCAGCAAUGCCGCGUGCAGGAUGAAGGCCUUCGGGUUGUAAACUGCUUUUGUACGGAGCGAAAAGGCUCGCACUAAUACUGUGGGCUCAUGACGGUACCGUAAGAAUAAGCACCGGCUAACUACGUGCCAGCCGCCGCCGUAA